GCAUGCGUGGCUGAGCAGCAAAAGCGCCUGACUGUAGAUCAGGAGUCUUCGGACUAUCGUGGGUGCAAGUCCUACCGCAUGCA
This 83-nucleotide transfer RNA is filed under the name Acidobacteriota bacterium. Its description in RNAcentral is "Acidobacteria bacterium tRNA-Tyr". It matches the Rfam family "tRNA". Rfam says of the family: Transfer RNA (tRNA) molecules are approximately 80 nucleotides in length. Their secondary structure includes four short double-helical elements and three loops (D, anti-codon, and T loops). Lineage: Bacteria; Pseudomonadati; Acidobacteriota. The record is from RNAcentral. RNAcentral also lists the same sequence under 1 other name.